This is a non-coding RNA of Paramarasmius palmivorus, 79 nucleotides long. The record is from the annotation of a GenBank genome assembly. Lineage: Eukaryota; Fungi; Basidiomycota; Agaricomycetes; Agaricales; Marasmiaceae.
GGUUCGAUGGUGUAGUUGAUCUAACGUACUGCCAUGCGCUGGAUAUGCAAGAGCCCCAGUUCGAAUCCGUGUCGAAUCA